AGAUUGAACGCUGGCGGCAUGCCUUACACAUGCAAGUCGAACGGCAGCACGGGGGCAACCCUGGUGGCGAGUGGCGAACGGGUGAGUAAUGCAUCGGAACGUGCCCAGUAGUGGGGGAUAACUAGUCGAAAGAUUAGCUAAUACCGCAUACGACCUAUGGGUGAAAGCGGGGGAUUCGCAAGAACCUCGCGCUAUCGGAGCGGCCGAUGUCUGAUUAGCUAGUUGGCGGGGUAAAAGCCCACCAAGGCUUCGAUCAGUAGCUGGUCUGAGAGGACGACCAGCCACACUGGGACUGAGACACGGCCCAGACUCCUACGGGAGGCAGCAGUGGGGAAUUUUUGGGACAAUGGGCGCAAGCCUGAUCCAGCCAUGCCGCGUGCGGGAAGAAGGCCUUCGGUUGUAAACCGCUUUUGGCAGGAACGAAACGGCGCGAGCGAAUAUCUCGCGUUAAUGACGGUACCUGCAGAAUAAGCGACCGCUAACUACGUG
Molecule: ribosomal RNA, 489 nt
Filed under: uncultured soil bacterium
Lineage: Bacteria
Description: bacterial SSU rRNA
Rfam family: Bacterial small subunit ribosomal RNA
Source: RNAcentral